RNAcentral lists this ribosomal RNA (254 nucleotides) under uncultured bacterium. RNAcentral's name for it is "partial 16S ribosomal RNA". It matches the Rfam family "Bacterial small subunit ribosomal RNA", at positions 524 to 776 of the family's 1533-position model. The record is from RNAcentral.
UACAGAGGGGGCAAGCGUUGUUCGGAAUUACUGGGCGUAAAGGGCGCGUAGGCGGCCUGCUAAGUCGAACGUGAAAUCCCUGGGCUCAACCCAGGAACUGCGUCCGAUACUGGUUGGCUUGAAUCCGGGAGAGGGAUGCGGAAUUCCAGGUGUAGCGGUGAAAUGCGUAGAUAUCGAGAGGAACAACUGCGGCGAAGGCGGGUUGCUGGGCUGACACUGACGCUGACAGCGCGAAAGCUAGGGGAGCGAACGGG